GGUGUCAUUGCAAUCAAAUGUGGGCGGGGCUUAGGACGAAACCCGGUGACAGUGGGAAACGUUAUCUGCAAACGUUGCAAUUUUGACGAGUUUAUUCGUUUAUUUUUGGUUUUGAGAAAUGAACGUUAAUGCGCGCCGCGGAGGCAUGUCGAUAAGGAGAAAUGCAGGGCGGUCAUUUGGAGGGAAACGUGCAAUGAUCCCACCACCGUCGAUGACGUUUUGUUUGUUUUGACGUCUCGUCAACCGGGGACGGCUAAGGACCACUUCUUUUAGUUUUCUUUCACAAAAUGAAGUCAGCUUUGCGCAACCAAGGGUGUUCCCCGCCUCUCGCCCAACGUCAGCUGGGAUGGCCACUUGCUCACCGUGACCCGAAUGAGGAUAAGACGAACAGAAAAUGGAUUGGUGGAUUGAUACUUCCUGUUCUGAUCUGGUGUGGCAGGGCCGUGACGGAAGCGGCGCAGAUGGCUUCAGAUGCCCCGCAACUGUUUGGUGCAGGGAUGGCCAGAGAAUGCCAAGGGGUGGCCGCGUAGCUCCGCCCCUGACCUGAACCCUUUCAACCGGGGAAAAGAUACGUUGGAAUCUCAAA
This is a long non-coding RNA of Hippocampus comes (tiger tail seahorse), 586 nucleotides long. RefSeq lists it as uncharacterized. The record is from RefSeq and is a predicted model, not a curated record. The transcript is spliced from 3 exons. Lineage: Eukaryota; Metazoa; Chordata; Actinopteri; Syngnathiformes; Syngnathidae.